RNAcentral lists this long non-coding RNA (1086 nucleotides) under Monodelphis domestica (gray short-tailed opossum). RNAcentral describes it as "lncRNA (ENSMODG00000043318.1)". The record is from RNAcentral. Lineage: Eukaryota; Metazoa; Chordata; Mammalia; Didelphimorphia; Didelphidae.
AUGCCCUCAGGCGUGACAAAGCGGAUGUCCAGCAGCCAUCUUACCGGCAACACGUCCAGAACGGAACUCAGAACCCUCCCCACCUUCCACCUUCCCUAUCGCUGGUGGAGCCCCCCCCUCCCCCCCCCUGCUCUGGGCUUCUCACUGACUCCCAGAUCCAAGAUGGCGCCAAGGCCUGUCAAUUCCCCCCUCUGUGGUAUCCCUCGAGCCCAUCCCCGUCUCCUUGACCCCCGGACUGGCUCUCCCACUGCGGUCACCCCAUUCCAUCGUUUCAGGGGCUCCCUAUUACCUCCAGGGCUGAACCGCCAUCCUGCCUGGGCUUCUCUCUCGUACCCCUGCCCCAGGUCCUCGUCCGCCCCAGCUGCCCCACUUCCACACCCAUCUCUCCAGCUGCCCUCCACCCUGGGAUGCUCUCCCCCCCCAUCCCUGGCUCCCAGCUUCCCAGCGUCCCUCUUGUCGCGCUCAAAGCCAGCCUUCUACAGGGGGCUCCUCUCCGUCCUUCCCCCUUAUCCCUCCCUCCUUGGCCUUCUCGUGUGUGCCCAGUGCUUGGCACAGGGCCUGGCAUGGGGCUUCGUCGCUGUUUACUGCCUGGCUGUAGGAGGAAGAGAUGCCCACAUUUGUGCCAGCUUUAAGGGCUCCUCCUAUUGUCCCCUUUGGCAAAGCAGCCAUUCUGCUGCUGGCAAGAAUGAGAAUCUGAAAGUGGCUUCUUGGGCCGCGGUGCCCCUCCCUGAAUGGUGCUGGGCUUGGCACGGCGCAGGGCAGACGAGGAAGUCGGUGACUUCCUCCCUCCCUCCCAGGGGCUGGGCAGGCUCAGCCUCACAAAGCCCCUCGGUGGCAGGCUUCCCAGCCCGAGAGGCGCCGCUCCCUUCAGGGGUGAAGAGGCCUCGUGGAUGGGGACCAGCCUGGCACCCGAGCGAGCCGCCAAACCGCUCAGGGGCACCGAAGGGCAAUCCGCUACCCGCCUGGGAAGAUUGUUCCCAAGUCAGGCUGGUUCCUCGGCUCGGGUCUCUCUCAGCGCGCCAGGCCAGAGCGGGCAUCACGCCCAGGGCACAGGCAGCCUCUCCCCACCGGCCCCCCAGGGCAUGA